RNAcentral lists this ribosomal RNA (477 nucleotides) under Penicillium sp. ASR-284. Its description in RNAcentral is "eukaryotic LSU rRNA". The stretch from base 140 to 294 matches the Rfam family "5.8S ribosomal RNA". Lineage: Eukaryota; Fungi; Ascomycota; Eurotiomycetes; Eurotiales; Aspergillaceae. The record is from RNAcentral.
GUGUCUAUCGUACCUUGUUGCUUCGGCGGGCCCGCCUCACGGCCGCCGGGGGGCUUCUGCCCUCUGGCCCGCGCCCGCCGAAGACACCAUUGAACGCUGUCUGAAGAUUGCAGUCUGAGCAAUUAGCUAAAUAAGUUAAAACUUUCAACAACGGAUCUCUUGGUUCCGGCAUCGAUGAAGAACGCAGCGAAAUGCGAUACGUAAUGUGGAAUUGCAGAAUUCAGUGAAUCAUCGAGUCUUUGAACGCACAUUGCGCCCCCUGGUAUUCCGGGGGGCAUGCCUGUCCGAGCGUCAUUGCUGCCCUCAAGCACGGCUUGUGUGUUGGGCCUCCGUCCUCCUCCGGGGGACGGGCCCAAAGGCAGCGGCGGCACGCGUCCGGUCCUCGAGCGUAUGGGGUUCGUCACCGCUCUUGUAGGCCGGCCGGGCUUGCCGACCAUCAAUCUUUUUCCGGUUGACUCGGACAGGUAGGAUACCGCU